AGCACACAGACAAGACAAUGCAGGAGUGGCUUCAGGACAAGUCUCUGAAUGUCCUUGAGUGGCCCAGCCAGAGCCCGAAUUGCUGGGUAGCAUUUCCUGCAGAAACCUCAUAUAACCUAAACCAGAGAAACAUGACAAUGGAUAUUUACACACACCUUGGUUGGACUUACCUUGGUGGACUCAGUUUGGGGAAUCAACUGUCUUCCAACUUGAUCUCUUCAGCGACCAUUGGAGAGAGGCCUCGUUGCUUUAUCAGACUACAUGUGGAGACGCAGAGACGCCCAACUCAGUGGAAAAUUUACUUCCUUCCAGCAGGCAGCGUUUUUUUUGCCCACCAAGCAAGUUUUUGUAUGGAGGUCAAUGAGUGUCGAAUUUGGCCAACAACAAAAAAUGCAUCACUUAUUUGCUUGCAUGAGGUUUAUUUGAUCUAAUAGAAGUUCAGUAAUGGUUAAGUUGUUACGAGUGUACUUAUAUAAGUAGCACACGUAACAUCCUGGCAACUUGAGAAAAAACACUUCAUAUCGUAGAUGGCUCUGCAUAUUCAUAGUAUGAGGCUAGUAGCACAGCAGCUCUCUCGAUUGACGUCAUCUCUUGAAUAUUUAAAAUUAGAUUACAAUAAUGAGCUGUAUCCACCAAUCCAAAGAAAGGAUAAGCAACCCGCCCGUGCUGCUAUGUGGACAACGACUCCCAUUGUUAGGCCGGAGAUAUAUUGUAUCUUGUCACUAUAUCCAUAAUCUUUGCUACAGGUUGGAGUCCUCUCUGUAGCACGUUUGAUAUCUUUCCAUCUUGAGAAACUCUGGAAACACAUCAAAUACCAAAACGAGGAGGAAUAAAGAAGUGGCCUUAUGUUGCGGCAGAAAUGAAGCAAACGCUACACUU
Molecule: long non-coding RNA, 879 nt
Organism: Oncorhynchus masou masou (cherry salmon)
Lineage: Eukaryota; Metazoa; Chordata; Actinopteri; Salmoniformes; Salmonidae
Exons: 3
Source: RefSeq, a predicted model, not a curated record